This 4502-nucleotide ribosomal RNA is filed under the name Pseudomonas aeruginosa. RNAcentral describes it as "23S ribosomal RNA". It matches the Rfam family "Bacterial large subunit ribosomal RNA". The record is from RNAcentral. Lineage: Bacteria; Pseudomonadati; Pseudomonadota; Gammaproteobacteria; Pseudomonadales; Pseudomonadaceae.
GGUCAAGUGAAGAAGCGCAUACGGUGGAUGCCUUGGCAGUCAGAGGCGAUGAAAGACGUGGUAGCCUGCGAAAAGCUUCGGGGAGUCGGCAAACAGACUUUGAUCCGGAGAUCUCUGAAUGGGGGAACCCACCUAGGAUAACCUAGGUAUCUUGUACUGAAUCCAUAGGUGCAAGAGGCGAACCAGGGGAACUGAAACAUCUAAGUACCCUGAGGAAAAGAAAUCAACCGAGAUUCCCUUAGUAGUGGCGAGCGAACGGGGAUUAGCCCUUAAGCUUCAUUGAUUUUAGCGGAACGCUCUGGAAAGUGCGGCCAUAGUGGGUGAUAGCCCCGUACGCGAAAGGAUCUUUGAAGUGAAAUCGAGUAGGACGGAGCACGAGAAACUUUGUCUGAACAUGGGGGGACCAUCCUCCAAGGCUAAAUACUACUGACUGACCGAUAGUGAACCAGUACCGUGAGGGAAAGGCGAAAAGAACCCCGGAGAGGGGAGUGAAAUAGAACCUGAAACCGUAUGCGUACAAGCAGUGGGAGCCUACUUGUUAGGUGACUGCGUACCUUUUGUAUAAUGGGUCAGCGACUUAUAUUCAGUGGCAAGCUUAACCGUAUAGGGUAGGCGUAGCGAAAGCGAGUCUUAAUAGGGCGUUUAGUCGCUGGGUAUAGACCCGAAACCGGGCGAUCUAUCCAUGAGCAGGUUGAAGGUUAGGUAACACUGACUGGAGGACCGAACCCACUCCCGUUGAAAAGGUAGGGGAUGACUUGUGGAUCGGAGUGAAAGGCUAAUCAAGCUCGGAGAUAGCUGGUUCUCCUCGAAAGCUAUUUAGGUAGCGCCUCAUGUAUCACUCUGGGGGGUAGAGCACUGUUUCGGCUAGGGGGUCAUCCCGACUUACCAAACCGAUGCAAACUCCGAAUACCCAGAAGUGCCGAGCAUGGGAGACACACGGCGGGUGCUAACGUCCGUCGUGAAAAGGGAAACAACCCAGACCGCCAGCUAAGGUCCGAUUCUGUUGAAAAAGUAGCGGCCUCUCCAUGCCGUUGGCAAAAUUGCUCUGUCAGCGAGCGUGGGGGCGAACAGCAUGAUGGGGCAGUUACCGGGAGGACAGCAGCGCCUGUUCUACUCGUUCAACCUAGAAGAUCACGUCCCGGCUCAACACCUCCUGCGCAGCAUCGACCAGUGCCUGGAUCUUAGUGAUCUGCGCGCCUACCUGGCGGACUUCUAUAGUCCCAUCGGACGCCCCUCGAUUGACCCGGAAUUGAUGGUGCGCAUGCUGGUCGUCGGCUACUGCUAUGGCAUUCGUUCCGAGCGGCGAUUGUGCGAAGAGGUGCACCUGAACCUGGCCUAUCGCUGGUUCUGCCGGCUGGGUCUGGAAGACGAAGUCCCCAAUCACUCGACCUUCUCGAAGAAUCGCCAUGGGCGUUUUCGUGACAGCGAUCUGUUCCGCUGGUUGUUCAAUGAGGUGCUGCGGCGUUGCAUGGCAGCCGGCCUAGUCAAGGGCGAAGGUUUUGCCGUCGACGCUAGCAUCAUCAAGGCGGAUGCCAGCCGGCAACGUGGGGUAGCGGGAGAUGAGGUCGAUUGGAACGAUCCAAAGCUCAGCAGCCGCGCAGUGCGCGAGUACCUCGAAGCCCUUGAUGAAGAGGCGCUGGCUGAGGCUCUUCCCAAGAAAAUUUCGCUCACAGAUCCUCAGUCCCGUUGGACAGCAGCGCCAGGUGGGCCGGCCUUUUUUGCCUACUCCACGAAUUACCUGAUCGACACUGAGCACGGUGUGAUCAUGGACGUGGAAGCUACCCCGGCGCACCGUACCGCCGAAGUCGAUUCGACUAGGACGAUGGUCGAGCGUGUCAAAGCUCAGUUCGAUCUCACACCGGAACGCCUUAUCGGCGAUACCGCUUAUGGCACCGCCCCGAUGCUGGCCUGGAUGGUCGAAGAAAAGGACAUCGAGCCGCAUGUGCCGGUGUGGGACAAGACUGAGCGCAAGGGCGACAGCCUCUCCAGUAACGACUUCCACUGGAACCAGGAGGCCAAUGAAUACCGCUGCCCAGCCGGCAAACCACUACGCAGUGAGUGGCGCGCCUUCACCCAGAAAAGAUCGCGGGUGACCAAGGCCAACACCAUCAUUUAUCGCUCCAGCCAAACCGACUGCACUACCUGUCCGCUGAAAGCGAAAUGCUGCCCCAACACGCCGAAUCGGAAGAUCGUCCGCAGUAUCCAUGAGGCUGCCCGCGAUGUGGCCAGGCGCAUCGCCAAGACACCGGAAUACCUCGUCUCUCGCUGCGAACGAAAGAAGGUGGAGAUGCUGUUCGCCCACCUCAAACGGAUCAUGAAACUCGAUCGUUUACGACUGCGCGGCCUGACAGGUGCCACUGACGAAUUCACUUUGGCGGCGGCGGUGCAGAACCUGCGACGCAUGGCCAAGCUUUUGCCUCAAGGGCCACCGCUCACGGGAUAGGUACGCCUGCUGAGAGCAGAAACCUUCAAAUUAACCCUCAGGCCUGAGCAAGGACGCUCAGCGAAACGCCGAAAGGCAACCUGAAGUGGCUUGCAGUCACUUCGACAGCAGGCACACCUGAUCGGCAGGCCGCCGCUAAACCUACUUUUUCAACAGAAUCGUCCCAAAGUUGUGGUUAAGUGGUAAACGAUGUGGGAAGGCUUAGACAGCUAGGAGGUUGGCUUAGAAGCAGCCACCCUUUAAAGAAAGCGUAAUAGCUCACUAGUCGAGUCGGCCUGCGCGGAAGAUGUAACGGGGCUCAAACCACACACCGAAGCUGCGGGUGUCACGUAAGUGACGCGGUAGAGGAGCGUUCUGUAAGCCUGUGAAGGUGAGUUGAGAAGCUUGCUGGAGGUAUCAGAAGUGCGAAUGCUGACAUGAGUAACGACAAUGGGUGUGAAAAACACCCACGCCGAAAGACCAAGGGUUCCUGCGCAACGUUAAUCGACGCAGGGUUAGUCGGUUCCUAAGGCGAGGCUGAAAAGCGUAGUCGAUGGGAAACAGGUUAAUAUUCCUGUACUUCUGGUUACUGCGAUGGAGGGACGGAGAAGGCUAGGCCAGCUUGGCGUUGGUUGUCCAAGUUUAAGGUGGUAGGCUGAAAUCUUAGGUAAAUCCGGGGUUUCAAGGCCGAGAGCUGAUGACGAGUCGUCUUUUAGAUGACGAAGUGGUUGAUGCCAUGCUUCCAAGAAAAGCUUCUAAGCUUCAGGUAACCAGGAACCGUACCCCAAACCGACACAGGUGGUCGGGUAGAGAAUACCAAGGCGCUUGAGAGAACUCGGGUGAAGGAACUAGGCAAAAUGGCACCGUAACUUCGGGAGAAGGUGCGCCGGCUAGGGUGAAGGAUUUACUCCGUAAGCUCUGGCUGGUCGAAGAUACCAGGCCGCUGCGACUGUUUAUUAAAAACACAGCACUCUGCAAACACGAAAGUGGACGUAUAGGGUGUGACGCCUGCCCGGUGCCGGAAGGUUAAUUGAUGGGGUUAGCGCAAGCGAAGCUCUUGAUCGAAGCCCCGGUAAACGGCGGCCGUAACUAUAACGGUCCUAAGGUAGCGAAAUUCCUUGUCGGGUAAGUUCCGACCUGCACGAAUGGCGUAACGAUGGCGGCGCUGUCUCCACCCGAGACUCAGUGAAAUUGAAAUCGCUGUGAAGAUGCAGUGUAUCCGCGGCUAGACGGAAAGACCCCGUGAACCUUUACUGUAGCUUUGCACUGGACUUUGAGCCUGCUUGUGUAGGAUAGGUGGGAGGCUUUGAAGCGUGGACGCCAGUUCGCGUGGAGCCAUCCUUGAAAUACCACCCUGGCAUGCUUGAGGUUCUAACUCUGGUCCGUAAUCCGGAUCGAGGACAGUGUAUGGUGGGCAGUUUGACUGGGGCGGUCUCCUCCUAAAGAGUAACGGAGGAGUACGAAGGUGCGCUCAGACCGGUCGGAAAUCGGUCGCAGAGUAUAAAGGCAAAAGCGCGCUUGACUGCGAGACAGACACGUCGAGCAGGUACGAAAGUAGGUCUUAGUGAUCCGGUGGUUCUGUAUGGAAGGGCCAUCGCUCAACGGAUAAAAGGUACUCCGGGGAUAACAGGCUGAUACCGCCCAAGAGUUCAUAUCGACGGCGGUGUUUGGCACCUCGAUGUCGGCUCAUCACAUCCUGGGGCUGAAGCCGGUCCCAAGGGUAUGGCUGUUCGCCAUUUAAAGUGGUACGCGAGCUGGGUUUAGAACGUCGUGAGACAGUUCGGUCCCUAUCUGCCGUGGACGUUUGAGAUUUGAGAGGGGCUGCUCCUAGUACGAGAGGACCGGAGUGGACGAACCUCUGGUGUUCCGGUUGUCACGCCAGUGGCAUUGCCGGGUAGCUAUGUUCGGAAAAGAUAACCGCUGAAAGCAUCUAAGCGGGAAACUUGCCUCAAGAUGAGAUCUCACUGGGAACUUGAUUCCCCUGAAGGGCCGUCGAAGACUACGACGUUGAUAGGCUGGGUGUGUAAGCGUUGUGAGGCGUUGAGCUAACCAGUACUAAUUGCCCGUGAGGCUUGACCAU